Molecule: long non-coding RNA, 1985 nt
Filed under: Cricetulus griseus (Chinese hamster)
Lineage: Eukaryota; Metazoa; Chordata; Mammalia; Rodentia; Cricetidae
Description: lncRNA (ENSCGRG00015036282.1)
Source: RNAcentral
CACAUUCUAGCCUAGAGGACAAAGGGAUGGCUGUGUUUCUGUCUUGAAGAAUUCUGGAGUACCAUGGGAGAGAAGGCCUAAGUCCCUGCAGUGGUUUGAAAGAAAAUAGCCCCCAAAAGGGAGUGGCACUAUGAGGAGGUGUGGCCUCACUGGAGGAAGUGUGUCACUGGGGGGGCGGGCUUUGAGGUCUCUCUUGGGCAAGCUUUCCCCAGUGUAAUUGUCAGCCGACUUCCUGGUGUCUGGAGAUGUAGAACUCUCAGCUCCUCCAGCACCACGUCUGUCUGCACACCGCCAUGCUCCCUGUCAUGAUGGUAAUGGACCGGACCUCUGAAACUCAAUAGAAAGCAGACUGAGACGGGUCACUUGACAAGGCAGAUGAUGAGGAGGAGGGUACAAAGUCAUGCACAGGAUCAACACAGCAUCAUGGAGCACCCUGCUGUGGGUCAGGAUGGCAUUCAGCACCCAGAGAUGCACAAAGGAGCUGCCAGGAGAGUUGCUGAGAUCCUGCAGUUGCCGGAAGAGGAGGGUGCUGGCCAACCUGCAGGAUCUCAGCCAUCGUGACGAGGUCCCAUUCCUAGAGCCCUUGAUGCCGGACCACUCUGAGGAUGAAGACUUGAAGGAGACACACAGGUGUUGCCACGUCUCGGGCUGUCAUACCUGCAACUGUCUUCUUGGGGUGAUCAAAGAUUAUGGCUCUCGGGAGUCUCAGGAAGGAUGUCUUAUUCUGGAAAGUGAGCCCCACGGGCAGCGAAGAUCACCUUUGUCCUUGUCUGUGGAUCCCACUGGAAGAAUGCAUGACCCAGGACCUCUUCACUGGGUCCUUUCCAUAGCUAGCUCCGUCCAGUUCCUGAGUGCAGCUUGCCUGGCACGAGCGAGGGCCUGGAUUUGACCCCCAGCACUAGAAAAUCAAACCACCACACAAGCACAUAGGCUAGCAUCAUGGUCCAUCUGCCGGUGUAAUCACGGGACUUUGACACCUUGAUUAUAGUUCCAAGAUGACAACCCAGCAUGAGACUGUGUUGAAUUAAGCCAUACCCACCACACGGGAACUAUUCUCCUUCUCCUAAACCAAAGCGGCUGUACAUCUGCCUAAGGUGAUUCCUACCCACCCAUUGGUUGCUAAAAGGAAGCCAAACCUUUUCUUGAUUGGCAUUUAAUAGCCUCAUCUCCAAUGCUAGUGGCCUUCUAGACUGUGGAAACUCAUCUCAGUGUGAAUGUCAAUCAUUGAAAUUUGUUGUAAAUAAUGUAUUUCCCCCAAAAUAAUUUGGAUCUUCAAGCAAUAGAGUAAUGACAAUCACUACCAACCCACUUUGAGAACCACUAAAUGGAACACGCACACCUGAGCUUGAGCACACUUGUGUUUGGCCGGCAUGUCUGUCUUGUGUGUCUACUGCCCAAAGAAGCCAGAAGAGGGUGUUGGAUCCCUUGGAAUUGGAGUUACAGCCACUCCCCUUGUGGGUGUGGGGAAUCCAACCUGGAUCCUCCGGAAGAGCAGCCAGUGCUCUUAACCACUGAGCCUUCCCUCCAGGACCUGAGCGGUAAUUUUGAUAGUGGUGGCUGGAUGAAUGGAUUUCUGUAAGGAGUAUUGCCAUCCGGUCACACCGAGUCUCCUGGUUGUCAGGUAUGGGGUGUCUUUCCAUUCACCUUCACCUUUAAUUUCUGCCAACAAUGUCUGUAGCCUUCAGAGUGCUAAGUGUUAGCGGUUGAGGAAGCAGACACUUGUUAAAGCGGUGGCCUUACAGACAUGAGUAGAGGAGCUGCUGUUACUUCACCUUCAGAAUUGUGUUUGUUUGCUUUUAAACUAAAAGUCACUGGAGAAACAGAGGCAGGAUCAGCCAGAAUCACCAAGUCACUUAGUGAAACUCAUUGUUUCAGGUGAUGCAGGCUUGACUUUGUACAUGUGACCAGAAAUGUGUGUGUCUUCGUCAGUGCUCUGUCGCUGUGAAGAGACACCGCGACCAAGGCAACACUAUAAAAGGAAGUGU